Molecule: ribosomal RNA, 912 nt
Filed under: Pseudophialophora angusta
Lineage: Eukaryota; Fungi; Ascomycota; Sordariomycetes; Magnaporthales; Magnaporthaceae
Description: SSU rRNA
Rfam family: Eukaryotic small subunit ribosomal RNA
Source: RNAcentral
AGCCCAUGCAUGUUCUAAGUAUAAGCAAUUAUACAGCGAAACUGCGAAUGGCUCAUUAAAUCAGUUAUCGUUUAUUUGAUAGUACCUUACUACAUGGAUAACCGUGGUAAUUCUAGAGCUAAUACAUGCUGAAAACCCCGACUUCGGAAGGGGUGUAUUUAUUAGAUUAAAAACCAAUGCCCUCCGGGGCUUACUGGUGAUUCAUGAUAACUUCUCGAAUCGCACGGCCUUGCGCCGGCGAUGGUUCAUUCAAAUUUCUGCCCUAUCAACUUUCGACGGCUGGGUCUUGGCCAGCCGUGGUGACAACGGGUAACGGAGGGUUAGGGCUCGACCCCGGAGAAAACGCCUGAGAAACGGCGUUUACAUCCAAGGAAGGCAGCAGGCGCGCAAAUUACCCAAUGCCGACACGGCGAGGUAGUGACGAGAAAUACUGAUACAGGGCUCUUUUGGGUCUUGUAAUUGGAAUGAGUACAAUUUAAAUCCCUUAACGAGGAACAAUUGGAGGGCAAGUCUGGUGCCAGCAGCCGCGGUAAUUCCAGCUCCAAUAGCGUAUAUUAAAGUUGUUGCAGUUAAAAAGCUCGUAGUUGAACCUUGGGCCUGGCUGGCCGGUCCGCCUCACCGCGUGCACUGGUCCGGCCGGGCCUUUCCCUCUGGGGAACCCCAUGCCCUUCACUGGGCGUGGCGGGGAACCAGGACUUUUACUUUGAAAAAAUUAGAGUGUUCAAAGCACGCCUAUGCUCGAAUACAUUAGCAUGGAAUAAUAGAAUAGACGUGCGGGUUCUAUUUUGUUGGUUUCUAGGACCGCCGUAAUGAUUAAUAGGGACAGUCGGGGCGUCAGUAUUCAAUUGUCAGAGGUGAAAUUCUUGGAUUUAUUGAAGACUAACUACUGCGAAAGCAUUCGCCAAGGAUGUU